This 141-nucleotide ribosomal RNA is filed under the name Triticum aestivum (bread wheat). RNAcentral describes it as "partial small subunit ribosomal RNA". The record is from RNAcentral. Lineage: Eukaryota; Viridiplantae; Streptophyta; Magnoliopsida; Poales; Poaceae.
AUGUAUACAUCUAAACAACCUUUUCUUAAAUCUAAGCAACCCUUUAGUAAAUCCAAGCAAACUUUUCGUAAAUUCAAGCAACCUUUUUGUAAAUCUAAACAACCUUUUCAUAGGCGUCCUCGGAUUGGCCCGGGGAGAUAA